GGGUCAGUAGGUUGGUCGUGCCACCGGUACGUACUGGCCUCACUGAUUCCUCCUUCCUGAAGAACCGUAAUGCCAUUAAUUUGGUGUUGCGGGGAAACAGGACUGUUACUUUGAAAAAAUUAGAGUGUUUAAAGCAAGCUAACGCUCGAAUACAUUAGCAUGGAAUAAUGAAAUAGGACGAUCGAUCCUAUUUUGUUGGUUUCUAGGAUUGACGUA
Molecule: ribosomal RNA, 216 nt
Filed under: Glomeromycotina sp.
Lineage: Eukaryota; Fungi; Glomeromycota
Description: partial small subunit ribosomal RNA
Rfam family: Eukaryotic small subunit ribosomal RNA (bases 40-216)
Source: RNAcentral